AAACUUAAAGGAAUUGACGGGGGCCCGCACAAGCGGUGGAGCAUGUGGCUCAAUUCGAUGCAACGCGAAGAACCUUACCAGGCCUUGACAUGCACUAGACAGACUCUGAAAGGAGUCCUCCCCUUCGGGGCUGGUGCACAGGUGCUGCAUGGCUGUCGUCAGCUCGUGUCGUGAGAUGUUGCGUUAAGUCGCGCAACGAGCGCAACCCCUGUCCUUAGUUGCCAUCAUUAAGUUGGGUACUCUAGGGAGACAAACCCUCUCUGAGGGUGGGAAGGUGGGGAUGACGUCAAGUCAGGAUGGCCCUUACGGCCUGGGCUGCACACGUGCUACAAUGCCCGAUACAGAGGGAAGCAAUACCGCGAGGUGGAGCAAAUCCUCAAAAUCGGGCCCAGUUCAGAUUGUAGUCUGCAACUCGACUACAUGAAGUUGGAAUCGCUAGUAAUGGCGCACUCCAGCUAACGGCGACCGUGAAUACGUUCCGGGCCUU
This 487-nucleotide ribosomal RNA is filed under the name uncultured Opitutus sp. RNAcentral describes it as "bacterial SSU rRNA". It matches the Rfam family "Bacterial small subunit ribosomal RNA", at positions 897 to 1382 of the family's 1533-position model. The record is from RNAcentral. Lineage: Bacteria; Pseudomonadati; Verrucomicrobiota; Opitutia; Opitutales; Opitutaceae.